UACGUAGGGUGCAAGCGUUGUCCGGAAUUAUUGGGCGUAAAGAGCUCGUAGGCGGUCUGUCGCGUCUGCUGUGAAAAUCCAGGGCUCAACCCUGGACCUGCAGUGGGUACGGGCAGACUAGAGUGCGGUAGGGGAGACUGGAAUUCCUGGUGUAGCGGUGAAAUGCGCAGAUAUCAGGAGGAACACCGGUGGCGAAGGCGGGUCUCUGGGCCGUAACUGACGCUGAGGAGCGAAAGCAUGGGGAGCGAACAGG
Molecule: ribosomal RNA, 253 nt
Filed under: uncultured bacterium
Lineage: Bacteria
Description: partial 16S ribosomal RNA
Rfam family: Bacterial small subunit ribosomal RNA
Source: RNAcentral